This 1070-nucleotide long non-coding RNA is filed under the name Ornithorhynchus anatinus (platypus). RNAcentral describes it as "lncRNA (ENSOANG00000044137.1)". The record is from RNAcentral. Lineage: Eukaryota; Metazoa; Chordata; Mammalia; Monotremata; Ornithorhynchidae.
ACGCACAACUGUACUCCGAAUGAACACAAAAGCGCGCAUACGCCGAACCCCUCCACGAACACACACAAUACAGAUGAACACACACCCAGCACCGCACGUAGAGGCGCACGCUUAGCAUCCCAACCUCCCAAAACACCAUACGAACCGAGCCUGUUCCAGGACCUUGCAGACCGAGACGCUUCUCGUCCCCCGUGCCCGCAGCCACCCAGGGCGAGAAACCUGGGAGAAAGGGGGUCCCCGGCCCCCGGCUAGGACUCUACCUUCUCGGGGCACGCAGAGGCAGCAGCCGGAGCACUGGACUAGCUGGUGCAGGACAAGGUCCCAUUUAGUAAUCCAUGAUUGGGGGUCUCUCUGAGCGCCGGACUCCGCACUCUCCUCCUUCGCAAUUCUUUGUCAUUCCUACAUGGGGCUUCUUAUCGCGCGGAGGGGAGCGUAGGUGGGCGCUGUGGAAAAGGGUCCUAGUUUCUGGGAAACAGAUAGAAUUUGCUGUUCAUUUCCAAUGAUGGGAGAAAGGGGGAGGGAGGCUGGCAGGGCGGGAAGCCAAAGAAACAAACCCAGAAGCAAAAAGGGGUCAUACAACACUUCUAACGAUCCCGAUCUCACUCCAGUUCCAAGCAGAAGUGCUGCCGCUGCUGCUGCUGCUGCUGCUGCUGCUGCUGCUGACCGUCGGCGGUGUUGACUGUCUCAGAAAAGUCCUAAACGGGCAUCGCUCUGCUGAUCCCAGCCGAAGAGCGCCGCUGCUCCCAGCCCGAAGCGCCUGCUCAUUGGAGUGCGUUCGGGGAGGGGAGUUCAAACAGUCCCCUGCGCUCCGGCUCCGGCUCCCGCUCCGGCGAACGAAGCGUCUUCAGGGUGGGACCAAAUCCCGGACUGGAUCGCCGGCAGGUAGUUCGUGUUUUGAGGUUGGGAAACUAGAACUUUCUCCGCAGAGCCAUGCCAAGGGUGUCGGAGAUGUGGUUGAGACCACAGCACAGGGGUUGGUGCGUGAGCAGAAGCAGAAGAAUGAACACCCAACCUGCGGUCCUGAAAUUUCCAGGGUCAUUUUCUCACCAGGUCUGAGUCAACAAAGCUGA